RNAcentral lists this ribosomal RNA (468 nucleotides) under uncultured bacterium. RNAcentral describes it as "partial 16S ribosomal RNA". It matches the Rfam family "Bacterial small subunit ribosomal RNA", at positions 28 to 507 of the family's 1533-position model. The record is from RNAcentral.
GACGAACGCUGGCGGCGUGCUUAACACAUGCAAGUCGAACGGAAAGGCCCUGCUUUUGUGGGGUGCUCGAGUGGCGAACGGGUGAGUAACACGUGAGUAACCUGCCCUUGACUUUGGGAUAACUUCAGGGAACUGGGGCUAAUACCGGAUAGGAGCUCCUGCUGCAUGGUGGGGGUUGGAAAGUUUCGGCGGUUGGGGAUGGACUCGCGGCUUGUCAGCUUGUUGGUGGGGUAGUGGCUUACCAAGGCUUUGACGGGUAGCCGGCCUGAGAGGGUGACCGGCCACAUUGGGACUGAGAUACGGCCCAGACUCCUACGGGAGGCAGCAGUGGGGAAUAUUGCACAAUGGGCGGAAGCCUGAUGCAGCAACGCCGCGUGCGGGAUGACGGCCUUCGGGUUGUAAACCGCUUUCGCCUGUGACGAAGCGUGAGUGACGGUAAUGGGUAAAGAAGCACCGGCUAACUACGUG